AUGACCCUAUCCUCAUCGUUCUGCAACCCAGGAGCUGCUGUCUCCACUUGAACUCAAAGCAAACGAAACUAUAGCAGAUAUGCCAUAACCAGAAAUUAAUACAUGACCAUAUCCGCAUAGUUAUUCAAAGCAACAGCUGCCGAACUAAACUAGUUACCAAAGCAGCCUAAAUCAAAAAACCAAUACGCCUUAAGCUGCCUCCAUUGCAGCCUAAACAAAAACUUUGACAGAAUUAGCAGAGUGUUAACGUUUUUUAGGAGGUUUCAGAAUACCUCCUAUCAUUU
Molecule: long non-coding RNA, 284 nt
Organism: Arabidopsis thaliana (thale cress)
Lineage: Eukaryota; Viridiplantae; Streptophyta; Magnoliopsida; Brassicales; Brassicaceae
Product: other RNA
Exons: 1
Source: RefSeq